This is a non-coding RNA of Comamonadaceae bacterium CG2_30_60_41, 45 nucleotides long. The record is from Rfam. NCBI's taxonomy places the organism in Bacteria, Pseudomonadati, Pseudomonadota, Betaproteobacteria, Burkholderiales, Comamonadaceae.
UCGCAUCCGCCAAACGGUCAAGCCGUGACGCGGGAGGUUAAUCAA